UGGGGAAUCUUGCACAAUGGGGGCAACCCUGAUGCAGCGACGCCGCGUGAGCGAUGAAGCCCUUCGGGGCGUAAAGCUCUUUCGACCGGAACGAUAAUGACGGUACCGGGAGAAGAAGCUGCGGCUAACUACGUGCCAGCAGCCGCGGUAAUACGUAGGCAGCAAGCGUUGUUCGGAGUUACUGGGCGUAAAGAGUGCGUAGGCGGUUUUCUAAGUUCGGUGUGAAAUCUCCCGGCUUAACUGGGAGGGUGCGCCGAAGACUGGGAAGCUGGAAUGUGGGAAAGGCAGGCGGAAUUCCUGGUGUAGCGGUGAAAUGCGUAGAUAUCAGGAGGAACACCGGCGGUGUAGACGGCUUGCUAGACCAUAACUGACGCUGAGGCACGAAAGCGUGGGUAGCAAACA
Molecule: ribosomal RNA, 402 nt
Filed under: uncultured bacterium
Lineage: Bacteria
Description: bacterial SSU rRNA
Rfam family: Bacterial small subunit ribosomal RNA
Source: RNAcentral